GAUGAACGCUAGCGGGAGGCCUAAUACAUGCAAGUCGAACGGUAAAUGGUAGCAAUACUAUGAGAGUGGCGUACGGGUGCGUAACGCGUACACAACCUGCCUUGUACUGGGGGAUAGCCUCGGGAAACUGAGAUUAAUACCCCAUAAUUUUACGAUGUGACAUCACAUUGUAAUUAAAGCUCCGGCGGUACAAGAUGGGUGUGCGUCCGAUUAGGUAGUUGGUGAGGUAACGGCUCACCAAGCCGACGAUCGGUAGCUGGUCUGAGAGGACGAUCAGCCACUCGGGCACUGAGACACGGGCCCGACUCCUACGGGAGGCAGCAGUAGGGAAUAUUGGACAAUGGACGCAAGUCUGAUCCAGCCAUCCCGCGUGAAGGAUUAAGGCCCUCUGGGUUGUAAACUUCUUUUCUUUGGGAAUAAAAAGCGGUAUUCAUAUCGCCUUGAAGGUACCAGGGGAAUAAGCACCGGCUAACUCCGUGCCAGCCGCCGCGGUAA
Molecule: ribosomal RNA, 495 nt
Filed under: uncultured bacterium
Lineage: Bacteria
Description: partial 16S ribosomal RNA
Rfam family: Bacterial small subunit ribosomal RNA
Source: RNAcentral